UGACAAUACAAUUAUGUUUAUUCAUUAUCAUUAUAAAUUCAAGAUGGCCGCCGCUACAAAAUGGCGGAUAACGUAGGUUUUAUCAAUCCCAUCAAAAUGGGUAUCAAAUGAAAGGUCUCAACAAGUAGAAUACAAUUUACUAUGCAAAAUUGAAAUCUAAGCUGGCCGCCGCUACCAAAUGUCUGAUAACAAUUUUUUAUCAAUCCCACCAAUAUGGGUAUCAAAUAAAAGGGCUUGACAAGAAGAAUACAGUGCACUAUACAACCUCAAUAUUUAAGAUGGCC
This 284-nucleotide unclassified non-coding RNA is filed under the name Melitaea cinxia (Glanville fritillary). Its description in RNAcentral is "misc RNA ENSMCXG00005019400.1". Lineage: Eukaryota; Metazoa; Arthropoda; Insecta; Lepidoptera; Nymphalidae. The record is from RNAcentral.